Molecule: ribosomal RNA, 253 nt
Filed under: uncultured bacterium
Lineage: Bacteria
Description: partial 16S ribosomal RNA
Rfam family: Bacterial small subunit ribosomal RNA
Source: RNAcentral
GACAGAGGGUGCAAACGUUGCUCGGAAUCACUGGGCGUAAAGGGCGUGUAGGCGGGCAGGUAAGUCGGGCGUGAAAUGCCGGGGCUCAACCCCGGGACUGCGUCCGAUACUCCCGAGCUGGAGGCAGGUAGGGGAGAUCGGAAUUCCUGGUGUAGCGGUGAAAUGCGCAGAUAUCAGGAGGAACACCGGUGGCGAAGGCGGAUCUCUGGGCCUUGCCUGACGCUGAGGCGCGAAAGCUAGGGGAGCGAACAGG